CACGGAACCUCGAAUAGGAGUUGCUGCCGAGGCCGGGGCCUGUCUUUGACGAUAGACAGGGGCAAACAGGCAUUUCAUCAUGGGUAGCUUUUUCUCAAGUACUUUUUCCAGGCUGUUUGGAACCCAGGAAAUGAGGAUUUUAAUUUUGGGGUUAGAAGGAGCAGGGAAAACUACAAUUUUGUACAGAUUACAGGUUGGAGAAGUCGUUACUACUAUUCCUACCAUUGGAUUUAAUGUUGAGAUAGUAACAUAUAAGAAAUUUAAAUUCAAAGUCUGGGAUUUAGGAGGACAGACAAGUAUUAGGCCAUACUGGAGAUGUUGUUAUUCAAACACAGAUGCAGUCAUUUAUGUAGUAGACAGGUGUGACCAAGACCGAACUGACAUUUCCAAAUCAGAGUUAGUUGCCGUGUUGGAGGAAGAGGAGCUGAGAAAAGCCAUUUUAGUGGUGUUUGCAAAUAAGCAGGACAUGGAACAGGCCAUGACUCCUUCAGAGAUGGCAAAUUCACUUGGGUUACCUGCCUUGAAGGACCGAAAAUGGCAGACAUUCAAAACUUCAGCAACCAAAGGCACUUGCCUUGAUGAGGCAUUGGAAUGGUUAGUUGAAACAUUAAAGAGAAGACAGUAAUUCAAUCACCUCUGCUCCUCUGAAACAAAGACCACAUCACAUAUCCCUUUGGAAACAGUGAAGUGUGCUUCACACUACUAAAUGUUAAAACUGUAUGAUUGUUGGCAUGUACUGAACUGACUGCAACAUUUAUAAUAAAUAUAAAAAAUAAGUAUUUGCUUGGAAGGGUAACCCAUCGUGAUUGAACCAACUGAAUGUCCUGUGUAACGUAAAAAAAUCCUUUCUUGCUUUCUUGUGUUAAGGUACAUAUUCUCUUUGUAUGGAAUUCUUAUUCACAUAUAGUCCUAUUAAAGAAUGUACUCUUAUUGAGGAAAAAAA
This is a non-coding RNA of Ceratotherium simum simum (southern white rhinoceros), 943 nucleotides long. The record is from RefSeq and is a predicted model, not a curated record. NCBI's taxonomy places the organism in Eukaryota, Metazoa, Chordata, Mammalia, Perissodactyla, Rhinocerotidae.